Molecule: transfer-messenger RNA, 355 nt
Filed under: Clostridium botulinum A2 str. Kyoto
Lineage: Bacteria; Bacillati; Bacillota; Clostridia; Eubacteriales; Clostridiaceae
Description: transfer-messenger RNA Clost_botul_A2Kyo
Rfam family: transfer-messenger RNA
About the family: Bacterial tmRNA, also known as 10Sa RNA or SsrA, is named for its dual tRNA and mRNA-like properties. Its role is to liberate the mRNA from a stalled ribosome.
Source: RNAcentral
GGGGGCGCAAUGGUUUCGACGGGGGCAAGUUGCUCCUGGGAAGCGAGUCGAAGGGAUCCUGUACCUGCGUUAAAAAACUGGGAAUUUAAAUAUAAUUGCAAACGAUAAUUUUGCAUUAGCUGCCUAAUAGUUGCAGCUCGUCAGCCUAAGAGUCCCACGACUUAGGGUCUGGCGUCGACAGUGGGGAACCGAGCCUUACAAAGCUUUGAGUAAGGAACGGAAUUAAUGAAGCUACUGAAUCUAAGAGCCUGUUUAUCAGCGCUUAGAGGAGGGAAUGUAAAAGGAUAAACUGCACUCGGAGAUGCCCAGGGGUUGCUGCUUCCGGACAGGGGUUCGAUUCCCCUCGCCUCCACCA